This is a non-coding RNA of Coturnix japonica (Japanese quail), 4707 nucleotides long. Lineage: Eukaryota; Metazoa; Chordata; Aves; Galliformes; Phasianidae. The record is from RefSeq and is a predicted model, not a curated record.
AAACCAAGACCACAAACAAACAAACAAAAAACUCUAACAAAAAUAAUCAGUCAAAGAAAUAUGGGAACACUGGCCAAUUCACUUUCUGGAGAUAUGCUGCUUCCUUAUAGCACUUCACAGGUAAAAGUGUUCAGUGGUCUUAAAAAAAUAACUGAAGAUUAUAAGAGAAUAUUUAUCUGUAUAUUUUAUGCCUAAAGAAUGAAAAAAACAUCUAUUUUGCAUGCCAAUGCACUGUUACAUACCCAUAUUCAGCUUUCACUUUCAGCAGAUGUUAUCUGCUAAUGUAUAUUUCAGGAGAGUUUGGAAAUCUAAUGUUAAAUUGUGGUAUUUUUUACCUCCUGGAAAGAAUGGGCUUUUGAUAACAAAAGAAGUUAAAAAGACAACUUGCUAAAUGGUACUUACUGAGAAAUAGGGUUCUCUGUUCCAGGGAGAGAGAGACAUCAAACUUUCAAAUCCUACUUGAAAGUUUGCAUUUCUAAAAUCAGUCAAUCAAACAAACAAAAAACCCUUAAUUUUUUCACAAAAGUUAAUUUCCUUCAGUUUCAAAGAAAUGAGCUGAAACUCAUCAUGUUGAGUCUCACCAUGGUGAAAAUGCAAAGCGUAGUGUGGGAAGCCCCUGGAAACCCAGUUCUUAACGGACAUUUUCUGUCAGCCUUUGUCAUCACAGCAUACAUUUUCCUGUCAUAUAAUGCAGGGUAAUUAUAUGGAUUCUCCUUUUUCCAAAUCAGAGGAAUGCUUCCUUACUUGACUGGAGGGGCCACAGACUACUAGUCAACCUACAAAUCCUGUUAGCAUUACAACUCCACACAAAUAAAGAAUUUGGAUCGGUGCCUUGUUAGAUCACCUCUAUUUCUAGCUCGCUGAGUAAAAAGAGCAUUUUUUACAGCCUAGUUUGAUAAGUAAAAGGUAUCUUUCUCACCUGCUUGCACUCUGAAUUGUCACUAUCGUGCUUUGUUCCUUUGCAUGUGGCUGUUGUCAGCUUCCGAGUCACAGAACCACUUGCAGGAACGGCUCGGGAGAGUUUUGGAAGAAAGGAGAGGGAAAAAAGGAGCUGCAUUUUUAUUUAACAGAAGAAGGAGAACAUAAAGAAAAGAAAGGUGUUCUCAAGAAUGUAGCCCGCAGCCUUGUCAGGUAGCAUAUCUUCAGAUGUUUUUUUUCUCCCCUUUCCCACCCCAAGAUCUCUCUUCAUCAUUUUUUUAAACAUCUCUUCUGGGACAGGGACAUGAAAGUGAAUUGUGGGUCAAAGUCAAGAAUUAGGGGUUGCUGGGGCUGCUUUCUGAUGGCUUUACUUUAUCUUUGUGUCCAAGCUUUUGCCAGUCAGCAGGUACCGCGGGUUAUCCAUUCCAGUCACAUCAUUUUCUGCUUGAUGACAAGCAUCACACCUUCAUCCAUCACAUUUACAUUUCAAACUGCCACACUGCUCUAUUGAUUAAUUAUUUAGCAGCUCUUGGCCACUUGCGAGUGUUUCUGUGCUCACGUUUCACAGAGAAGGUCCAUUCUUUUUAUUUGCGUACGGUUUUGUAAAGCAGAAAAAAUAUGUAAUGCCUUUAGCACACGCACCCCUGUGCAUGUAUGCUAAUAUAUAUGAUAUGGCAAUAUAUAUAUGCAUAUGUGUGUGCAUGCUUAUGUGGUGUAUGUACUGGUACAAUUAAAUACACACAAGGAGUGGGAGCAGGUAAUCUGAUCAAUAAGCACAUGCUCACACUGAUAAUAGAUUUCUGAGUUGUCAGAGACCUGAGCAGACGAUCAAUGAGACCUUGCAGGUGUGCUGGAGCCAGGCAUUGGAUCAGCUACAUCCUUGCACACCAGUGGGAAACUCACACACCAUCCUCUGGGCUCUGUCACUCAGAACAAAAACAGGUGAAAGUCUCUUGCAGGUGCUUGAUAAUGUUUAUAUUUCUUCCACAUCACAGGCAGGAAAAGGGCAGCCCCUACACAAGAGCCAAGGAGAUCUGGUUCCUUCUAAGCUUCCAUUAGCCCAGGCAAAUCACUUCAUCUUUCUUUUCCUCCAUUCUCUUUUGGUGAAAUGGAAAUCCUGUGGCAUCUGGAAAAUAAAUCCACUACUCUGUUGGGAAAGCUGGCUACCCAAAGGUGGUGGUGCAUUCCAUACAUUAUCCCUAAUUUCUUGCCAAAAGAUAGAUGUCUUUAGAAAGAACACCUGCAAGAACGAGGAAAUAUGAAGUACGUAAUAAUAGAAAAAGGAAUUUCAGUAAAAAUCUUGAGACCAUUCUUUGGAUGUUCAUGACAUCAUGUACUUACACUGGAGCUGGAAAUGAGGUCAUCUUGAAUUCCUACAUAAAAAUAGUAUUUAAAUCUUUCUUAAUGUUUUCAACUGUUUCUAUUUUUUUGCAAAUUUAUUAUGGAUAAAACCCAACCUAUAUAAACAGAAUGAUUCUUUUCUUCUGCUAUUCAUUUUCAGUAAUUUCUAAGUAAUGCAAAGCUUAUUAAAAUAAAAGGAAAUGUGUACGUUAACUUAAUAUGCUCUGGAUGAAACCUUUGAAGAGGAGGGACCACAUGGUCCUUAUUGCCCAUCUCUUGAAUUUCUGUCAUUGUCCUUCAAAUUUCAGAGGAAAAUGUAAUGCUACUGACUUUUUUAAUGGAUGGGAUUUGUGCCAGUAUUGAGCUCAUUGUUUCAAUUGUGUUAGGUUAGGCUUGGUCAAAGUUCUCCUGUGAAAUUACUUGGUUUAUUUUAAAGUACAUUGGGAACAUGUACAGGGUAAAUGAAUACUGUAUUUAUAUGUUUACAGCAAAAUAUUACAGUGUUCAGACAAACCAAUGUUGUUUGCCUACUAUAUUAGCAGUGUUAAUACAUUAUUUAAUAAACUGGGAAUAAUGGGCUGGUUCAUUUCUAUGGAGAUAAAUGAAAUGAAAAAUGAAGUCAUCUGGGCCUUAGUCCUGACCUGUGGUGGAAGAUUUGGAUGUUUGGUUGAAUAUAAUGUAUACCUCUGACUUCAAUUAAAGGAAAUAUUUAAUGUUAGAUUUUUGCCACUAUUUUUCCACUGUGUUCACUUCUCCUCCUACCUCUUCUAGUCCAUUCCGUUCUCUUCUUUUUCAGAAAGAAAUUGAAAGUUCUGUGAAGUGUGAAUUCAUUUAGUAUUUUUUUUUUCUAAUCACUUUUCAAUCCUCUCCUGUAUCUGGCAUUAAUACCAAAACUUAAUGCUGAGAAAAGUCAUUUUGUGUUGAUGGCUGAUUGAAUGAUCCAGCUUAUGUCUACAUUCAUCCACCAGGGCCAGAUGUGAAGGAAGGUAAGUUGUGUUACUGGCUGCUAGAUCAAGGACAUCUCCUUGCCCUGCGUAAACAAAGGACUGGAAGACAAAGCAGCUAUUUCAGACGUGCCCUCACAUUUUCUACGAAGUGCACCACAAAUUAGGCAGAAAUGUAUGCCUUUUAACUAAGGCCUCUGUAUCCCAGCUUGUGAAGGAAGUGGUGCCUGUGCUUUGCAAUGUAGAGGAGAAUGGAAAUGUAGCGUGGACAUCCAUGGAAGGAAACCACAGCAAAGGAUGUUCCUGGUCUCUCAAUUUUCAAUAUAUCAUCCAGAUACUUUGAAUAUAGAGACAAAGCUAUUUAUUUCUGCCUGUUAUCUCAAACGGUUUACACUGAAGUAACUUCUGAAUGUGAAAUGUCACAGAAGCAGCACUGAAUUAUAAUCACAAUAAUUAAAACUUCAAGUAAUUUGAAAAUCAGCACUUUCAUGGUUAAACAAAGGUGAUGAUAUCUUUUACCUCUACAAUUAGCAAAGUGGCUUUUAGUGCAAAGUGCACAACUAUGAAAGAUGCCAAAAUUUGCAUGAACAUUCAAAUAUCCAAGUCUGGUUUAAGUACAGAAGGAAGGAAUAGAAGAUGAUCCUUUGUAACUCAGUGAUUCCUCUCAUGUGAGUAACUUUAACAGAAAAAUGCCAGUACUAAUACUGAGGCAGCACUUGAUAAGAUGAAGAACAUUAUUAUUUGGAUCUGUCCAUAGUACUGUUCCAAUGUAAAGGUCUGAAAUCAGAAGAUGAAAUUAAGCUCCUACUCUAGUACUGUCAUUAGGCGAUGUUUGAGAAAGUAUUUUGCAUGCUUUAAAAAGAAUUAUUUCCUCUGAAACAUUUGUUCAUCGUUGAAUAAAGAUGUUUCUGUCUUACACACCUAUUCACUCACUGAUCCUUAAUUGGGACCCAAUGCAGUGUCAUAAACUAUAGUGGCAGCAAAGCUAUUCAUGCUUCUCUUCAGUUUUCUUCAUUUUUGCCUGCUUCAUCUCUUCACAUUCACAGCUAAGAGGCUUGCUCUGUAUAAAGAACAUGAACAUAGUAAUUAGUUCACCAUAGGUGUGUUUAAUUUGUAUUGUCAUAAAUAAAGAGAAAAAAUAACACUUCAUCUUUUUCAGGCUUAAUGACAUCAAGAAAGUAUAAUUGAAUAUGAAUAAUUGAAAAUAAAGAUUCUUUUAAAUAAGAUCUUUUAUUAGGAAGUGAGAACAAUAUAAAGUAGGCACCUUCCAGUAAGCUAUUUCGUAAAAUGGCAAACAUGAUAAUAAACAAAACAAUUAGAUUAUGAGUGGACUCCGCACUUUACAAAGAUUAAAAUACAUAAACAUAAUGACUGUGAGUACUUGAAAGGAUUAUACAGGCUCUAAUUCUAAGGUAUGCCUUUUCUGACUGCAUAAAUACCAACAUGCACAUCCUGCUACUGCCAAUAAUGAGAAAAGUCCCGAGAAAUCAAUGACAGGCGAGAA